RNAcentral lists this long non-coding RNA (1642 nucleotides) under Sus scrofa (pig). RNAcentral's name for it is "lncRNA (ENSSSCG00015051572.1)". The record is from RNAcentral. Lineage: Eukaryota; Metazoa; Chordata; Mammalia; Artiodactyla; Suidae.
GCUAAGGGCUUUGGUACUUGGGGACCAUGCCUAGGGGGUGAGCCAGGGUCCCCAGAUCCUGGGGACCUAGUUCUAGGUUUGCCACCUUCACCUGCAUCAGGAAGGGACAGAGAAGCCUCCGGAAGACCCUUCCAGGACCCCUCCCCGAUUCCCUUCCUUCUCCAUCCAUUUUCCUUUCCCAUUUGUCUUUGUUCCUUUUACUUUCUCCCAGGUGGUCAGUGGUUUGGACAUUCACAAAGCAGUGUACCUCACUUCACAGUUUCUCCACAUCAAGGACUUGAUUGGACUUCCCAGGUGUGUCCUGAGUCUGCCCAUCUCUGGAGCGGCUGUGGUUCUGUCAACACGGGCACUGUUUAUAGUGGCAACGGCUGUGACCUUUCUGGCCAAGAAGAAAGCUGUGCUUGUGGAUUCAGGCGAGUCUCUGCGCACACGCCCAGGGCCUUAAACCGCGCUUCACCAAACCACGGAGGGAAACACAGCCGCUCCCGCAGAAGGCUCUGCCCUCUACACCAGGGCUUUGGGGGUUCCACGUCUUGCCCCCACUGCGUGAGACUCAAAAGCCAUCAGGCAUCAACCUGGGGCUCUUGCCUGAGAAGUUCCUUCCCCAGAGCCUCACUGAGCUGGCUCUCCCUCCAGCCCUAGGUCUGGAAGUAUCACCUCCUCUGGGAGGCCUUUGUGCCCCCGCAUCUAAAUGUCUCCAUCACCUCCCCGUUCUAUUCCUCUUCUCUGUCAAAGCACUCACCCCCUCGGAAAUGUUACCCUCUUUCCUUGUUUAUGGUCUGUCUUUGCCAUUAGCAGGUGAGAGACAGGGAACACGAUCCGUUCCUGCAUCCUCGGCUUCUGUGUGUCCUGCCUGGCAAGUGCCAAGUGUUUGGUUAAUGUCUGUCCCGUGGCAAGAUGCCUCAGACAGGGAUGCACAACCCGACACAGAGAAGGUCUCGACCAGCCCUCCUGCUCUCAGCCUGGCUCCCUCACCCUCAGCCUGGCUCCCUCGUCGGGCUCAACAGUGAUAUUUCCACGCCGCAAAUCAUCCAGGUCACUCUUCUGCUCUAAGAGCUUUGAUGGCUCCCGUUGCUCCUGGGCCAAGUCCGGAUGCCUUAGCGAGACUCGGCUGGCCCUGCAGGACUGGAGCCCUGUCUCCUCCCCUCCAGGCACAUCCAGAGUGAGUGUCCUUCGUGCUGUUCUCCUGCCUGAAAUCUCGCCCUCUCUCCUCUUCUCUACAUUCAGCUGAUGAACUUGAAUUCUCAUCCUUUGUCUGGUCUCCCCCUAAGGAUCACCACCUUCAGGAAGCCCUCCUGCCUCUCUUCCCGUUUCCCACCAAACCUGUAGUAAUUGUCCCUUCUCCUUCAACCUUGGCCUUAUCUGUAUUUGUAUUCACCCAUUGUUUAGUUUUUUUGUUUUUCACUUUUCCUUUUUUUGGCCCUCCCGUAGCAUACGGAGUCCCUGGGCCAGGAUCAGAUCCGAGCCGCAGUUGUAGCUCUAUCAGAUCCUUUAACCCACUGUGCCAGGCCAGGGAUUGAACCUGUGUCCUUGAUGCUGCAGCCAUGCUGAUGAUUCUUUUGUGCCACAGUGGGAACUCUACCUUUUUUUUUUGUUUUUUUGUUUUUUGUCUUUUUAGGGUGACACCCUGUGGCAUAUGGAG